RNAcentral lists this ribosomal RNA (467 nucleotides) under uncultured bacterium. RNAcentral describes it as "partial 16S ribosomal RNA". It matches the Rfam family "Bacterial small subunit ribosomal RNA", at positions 28 to 506 of the family's 1533-position model. The record is from RNAcentral.
GACGAACGCUGGCGGCGUGCUUAACACAUGCAAGUCGAACGGAAAGGCCCUGCUUUUGUGGGGUGCUCGAGUGGCGAACGGGUGAGUAACACGUGAGUAACCUGCCCUUGACUUUGGGAUAACUUCAGGAAACUGGGGCUAAUACCGGAUAGGAGCUCCUGCUGCAUGGUGGGGGUUGGAAAGUUUCGGCGGUUGGGGAUGGACUCGCGGCUUAUCAGCUUGUUGGUGGGGUAGUGGCUUACCAAGGCUUUGACGGGUAGCCGGCCUGAGAGGGUGACCGGCCACAUUGGGACUGAGAUACGGCCCAGACUCCUACGGGAGGCAGCAGUGGGGAAUAUUGCACAAUGGGCGAAAGCCUGAUGCAGCAACGCCGCGUGCGGGAUGACGGCCUUCGGGUUGUAAACCGCUUUCGCCUGUGACGAAGCGUGAGUGACGGUAAUGGGUAAAGAAGCACCGGCUAACUACGU